GACGAACGCUGGCGGCGUGCUUAACACAUGCAAGUCGAACGGAAAGGCCCUGCUUUUGUGGGGUUCUCGAUUGCCGCACGCGUGUGUAACACGUGAGUAACCUCCCCUUGACUUUCGGAUAACUUCAGGAAACUCGGGCUCUUACCCCAUAUUAGCUCCUGCUGCAUGUUGGUCGAUGGUAAGUUUCGGCGGUUGGGUCUGUACUCGCGGCUUAUCAGCUUGUUGGUGGGGUAGUGGCUUACCAAGGCUUUGACGGGUACCCGGCCUGAGAGGGUGACCGGCCACAUAGGGACUGAGAGAAGGCCGAGACUACGAAGGGAGGCAGUAGGGGGGAAUAUGGCAGAAUGGGCGGAAGCGUGAGGCAGAAACGCCGCGUGCGGGAUGACGGCCUUCGGGGGGUAAACCGAUUUCGAAGGUGACGAAGAGUGAGUGACGGUAAUGGGUAAAGAAGCACCGGCUAACUACGUG
Molecule: ribosomal RNA, 468 nt
Filed under: uncultured bacterium
Lineage: Bacteria
Description: partial 16S ribosomal RNA
Rfam family: Bacterial small subunit ribosomal RNA
Source: RNAcentral